GACAAGAAAUAACAAUACGGGGCUUAAAGUCUUGUAAUUGGAAUGAUGGGAAUCUAAACCUCUUCCAGAGUAUCAAUUGGAGGGCAAGUCUGGUGCCAGCAGCCGCGGUAAUUCCAGCUCCAAUAGCGUAUAUUAAAAUUGUUGCAGUUAAAAAGCUCGUAGUUGAAUUUCUGCUGCAUUGCCUCUGCCCCUCGACGGGCGUUUGCAUUGCGGCUUUUUUCGGACUGUGUUCGCACGCUCCGGAUGAUUACUUUGAGAAAAUUAGAGUGCUCAAAGCAGGCUUUUGCCUUGAAUAGUUUAGCAUGGAAUAAUAGAGUAGGACUUUGGUUCUAUUUUGUUGGUUUUAGGUACCAAAGUAAUGGUUAAUAGGAACAGUUGGGGGCAUUCGUAUUUAACUGUCAGAGGUGAAAUUCUUAG
RNAcentral lists this ribosomal RNA (417 nucleotides) under Theileria cervi. RNAcentral's name for it is "SSU rRNA". It matches the Rfam family "Eukaryotic small subunit ribosomal RNA", at positions 469 to 923 of the family's 1831-position model. Lineage: Eukaryota; Apicomplexa; Aconoidasida; Piroplasmida; Theileriidae. The record is from RNAcentral.